This 450-nucleotide ribosomal RNA is filed under the name uncultured bacterium. RNAcentral's name for it is "partial 16S ribosomal RNA". It matches the Rfam family "Bacterial small subunit ribosomal RNA", at positions 354 to 796 of the family's 1533-position model. The record is from RNAcentral.
GUGGGGAAUCUUCCGCAAUGGACGAAAGUCUGACGGAGCAACGCCGAGUGAGUGAUGACGGCCUUCGGGUUGUAAAGCUCUGUGAUCGGGGACGAAUGGCUGGUAUGCUAAUACCAUAUCAGAGUGACGGUACCCGAAUAGCAAGCCACGGCUAACUACGUGCCAGCAGCCGCGGUAAUACGUAGGUGGCAAGCGUUGUCCGGAAUUAUUGGGCGUAAAGCGCGCGCAGGCGGCUUCUUAAGUCCAUCUUAAAAGUGCGGGGCUUAACCCCGUGAUGGGAUUGAAACUGGGAGGCUGGAGUAUCGGAGAGGAAAGUGGAAUUCCUAGUGUAGCGGUGAAAUGCGUAGAGAUUAGGAAGAACACCGGUGGCGAAGGCGACUUUCUGGACGACAACUGACGCUGAGGCGCGAAAGCGUGGGGAGCAAACAGGAUUAGAUACCCCUGUAGUCC